Molecule: ribosomal RNA, 492 nt
Filed under: uncultured bacterium
Lineage: Bacteria
Description: partial 16S ribosomal RNA
Rfam family: Bacterial small subunit ribosomal RNA
Source: RNAcentral
AGUGAACGCUGGCGGCAGGCCUAACACAUGCAAGUCGAGCGGUAGCACAGUAAGAGUUUCCGCUUUCGGGUGGCGUGUCGCGGGCGGGUGAGGUAUACAUCGGAAUCCAUUUUUUCGUGGGGGAUAUAGUGGGGAAACUUACGAUAACACCGCAAACGACCUACGGCAGAAAGCAGGAGAUCUUGGGCCCUUGCCAUCGUGUAUGACCCGAUGUGGGAUUAGCUAGUUGGCGGGGUAAAGGCCCACCAAGGCGACGAUCCGUAGCUGGUCUGAGAGGAUGAUCAGCCACACUGGAACUGAGACACGGUCCAGACUCCUACGGGAGGCAGCAGUGGGGAAUAUUGGACAAUGGGCGCAAGCCUGAUCCAGCCAUACCGCGUGGGUGAAGAAGGCCUUCGGGUUGUAAAGCCCUUUUGUUGGGAAGGAAGAGCGUCAGGUUAAUACCCCGCUGUACUGACGGUACCCAAAGAAUAAGCACCGGCUAACUUCGUG